This 207-nucleotide ribosomal RNA is filed under the name uncultured bacterium. Its description in RNAcentral is "partial 16S ribosomal RNA". It matches the Rfam family "Bacterial small subunit ribosomal RNA", at positions 568 to 774 of the family's 1533-position model. The record is from RNAcentral.
UCCGCAGGCGGAUUGGCAAAUAUCGUGUGAAAUACCAUGGCUCAACCAUGGAAUUGCUCGGUAAACUGCCAAUCUUGAACACGGUAGGGGCCAUCGGAACUCUAGGUGGAGCGGUGAAAUGCGUAGAUAUCUAGAGGAACGCCAGAGGCGAAGGCGGAUGGCUGGGCCGUUGUUGACGCUCAGGGACGAAAGCAUGGGUAGCGAACG